RNAcentral lists this ribosomal RNA (400 nucleotides) under Flavobacterium hibernum. Its description in RNAcentral is "bacterial SSU rRNA". It matches the Rfam family "Bacterial small subunit ribosomal RNA", at positions 49 to 453 of the family's 1533-position model. The record is from RNAcentral. Lineage: Bacteria; Pseudomonadati; Bacteroidota; Flavobacteriia; Flavobacteriales; Flavobacteriaceae.
AGUUCCAUCCAGUCGAGGGGUAGAGUUCUUCGGAAUUUGAGACCGGCGCACGGGUGCGUAACGCGUAUGCAAUCUGCCUUCCACAGAGGGAUAGCCCAGAGAAAUUUGGAUUAAUACCUCAUAGCAUCAUGACCCGGCAUCGGGAUAUGAUUAAAGUCACAACGGUGGAAGAUGAGCAUGCGUCCCAUUAGCUAGUUGGUAAGGUAACGGCUUACCAAGGCUACGAUGGGUAGGGGUCCUGAGAGGGAGAUCCCCCACACUGGUACUGAGACACGGACCAGACUCCUACGGGAGGCAGCAGUGAGGAAUAUUGGUCAAUGGGCGCAAGCCUGAACAGCCAUGCCGCGUGGCAGGAUGACGGUCCUAUGGAUUGUAACUGCUUUUGUACNGGAANAAACCU